RNAcentral lists this ribosomal RNA (671 nucleotides) under uncultured fungus. RNAcentral's name for it is "eukaryotic LSU rRNA". The stretch from base 263 to 416 matches the Rfam family "5.8S ribosomal RNA". Lineage: Eukaryota; Fungi. The record is from RNAcentral.
CUUGGUCAUUUAGAGGAAGUAAAAGUCGUAACAAGGUUUCCGUAGGUGAACCUGCGGAAGGAUCAUUAUCGAGUUUUGAAAGGGGUUGUAGCUGGCCUUCCGAGGCAUGUGCACGCCCCGCUCAAUCCACUCUACACCUGUGCACUUACUGUGGGUUUCGGAGGUGAAGCGCGCUUUCGCUCGCGGAUCUAACGGGCCUGCGUUUUACUACAAACACUUUAAAGUAAACGAACGUGUAUCGCGAUGUAACGCAUCUAUAUACAACUUUCAGCAACGGAUCUCUUGGCUCUCGCAUCGAUGAAGAACGCAGCGAAAUGCGAUAAGUAAUGUGAAUUGCAGAAUUCAGUGAAUCAUCGAAUCUUUGAACGCACCUUGCGCUCCUUGGUAUUCCGAGGAGCAUGCCUGUUUGAGUGUCAUGAAAUUCUCAACCUACCGGUCUUUGCGGAUCGGUAAGGCUUGGACUUGGAGGCUUGUCGGCCCGUGUGGUCGACUCCUCUCAAAUGCAUUAGCCUGUUCCUUGCGGAUCGGCUCUCGGUGUGAUAAUUGUCUACGCCGCGACCGUGAAGCGUUUGGCUGGCUUCUAACCGUCUCGGUGGAGACAACUUUCUGACCUCUGACCUCAAAUCAGGUAGGACUUCCCGCUGAACUUAAGCAUAUCAAUAAGCGGAGGA